GAAAGUUAUUAAAAUUCUAAAAACUUUAACCACAGAGUGAAUGUAAUGGUUCCCCGCAGAAAAACUAAGUCCAUUUGUAAGUAAAAUACGGAAAAAAUGGAAUUUUAUUUUUACAAAAUUUACUUCUGGAUAUUAUCUUAUGAUCAUAAACAAGCUUCUGUCCAAGUUUGGUACAAACCCAGGAUAGUUUGAGAAAGUUAUUAAAAUUCUAAAAACUUUAACCACAGAGUGAAUGUUUUGUUUCCCCGCAGAAAAAAAACUAAGUCCAUUUAUAGUAAAAUAUGGAAAAAAUGGAAUUUUAUUUUUACAAAAUUUACUUCUGGAUACUAUCUUAUGAUCAUAAACAAGCUUCUGUCAAAGUUUGGUAGAAAUCCAGUAUAGUUUAAGAAAGUUAUUAAAAUUUCAAAAACUUUAACCACAGAGUGAAUAUUUGUUGACGCCGCCGACGACGCCGACGACGACGGAAUGUAGGAUCGCUUAGUCUCGCUUUUUCGACUAAAGUCGAAGGCUCGACAAAAACAAACA
This 525-nucleotide long non-coding RNA is filed under the name Mytilus galloprovincialis (Mediterranean mussel). The record is from RNAcentral. Lineage: Eukaryota; Metazoa; Mollusca; Bivalvia; Mytilida; Mytilidae.